Molecule: ribosomal RNA, 495 nt
Filed under: uncultured bacterium
Lineage: Bacteria
Description: partial 16S ribosomal RNA
Rfam family: Bacterial small subunit ribosomal RNA
Source: RNAcentral
GAUGAACGCUGGCGGCGUGCCUUAUACAUGCAAGUAGAACGCUGACGGAGGAUCUUGCUCUUCUGGAUGAGUUGCGAACGGGUGAUUAACGCGUACGUAACCUGCCUGGUAGCGGGGGGUAACUAUUGGAUACGAUAUCUAAUACCGCAUGACAACAGGUAUUGCAUGAUAACUGUUUAAAAGGGGCAACUGCUCCACUACCAGAUGGACCUGCGUUGUGUUAGCUAGUUGGUGAGGUAACGGCUCACCAAUGCGACGAUACAUAGCCGACCUGAGCAGGUGGUCCGGCACACCUGGGAUGAGACACCGGCCAGAAUCCUACGGGAAGGAGCAGUAGGGAAUCUUCGGAAAUGGAGCGAAGUCUGACCGAGCAAAGCCGCGGGAGUGAAGAAGGUUUUUGGAUCGUAAAGCUGUGUUGUAAGGGAAGAACAAGUGUGAGAGUAGAAAGUUCACACUGUGACGGUAUCUUACCAGAAAGGAACGGCUAACUACGUG